This 447-nucleotide ribosomal RNA is filed under the name uncultured bacterium. RNAcentral's name for it is "bacterial SSU rRNA". It matches the Rfam family "Bacterial small subunit ribosomal RNA", at positions 331 to 792 of the family's 1533-position model. The record is from RNAcentral.
CCAGACUCCUACGGGAGGCAGCAGUGGGGAAUAUUGGGCAAUGGGCGCAAGCCUGACCCAGCAACGCCGCGUGAAGGAAGAAGGCUUUCGGGUUGUAAACUUCUUUUCUCAGGGACGAAGCAAGUGACGGUACCUGAGGAAUAAGCCACGGCUAACUACGUGCCAGCAGCCGCGGUAAUACGUAGGUGGCAAGCGUUAUCCGGAUUUACUGGGUGUAAAGGGCGUGUAGGCGGGAAAGCAAGUCAGAUGUGAAAACCAUAGGCUCAACCUGUGGCCUGCAUUUGAAACUGUUUUUCUUGAGUACUGGAGAGGCAGACGGAAUUCCUAGUGUAGCGGUGAAAUGCGUAGAUAUUAGGAGGAACACCAGUGGCGAAGGCGGCUUGCUGGACUGAAACUGACGCUGAGGCUCGAAAGCGUGGGGAGCAAACAGGAUUAGAUACCCGUGUA